This 840-nucleotide ribosomal RNA is filed under the name Bacteroides gallinarum. RNAcentral's name for it is "bacterial SSU rRNA". It matches the Rfam family "Bacterial small subunit ribosomal RNA", at positions 157 to 998 of the family's 1533-position model. The record is from RNAcentral. Lineage: Bacteria; Pseudomonadati; Bacteroidota; Bacteroidia; Bacteroidales; Bacteroidaceae.
GAAAGAUUAAUACCGGAUGGCAUAGUUUUCCCGCAUGAGAGAACUAUUAAAGAACUUCGGUUAUCGAUGGGGAUGCGUUCCAUUAGGCAGUUGGCGGGGUAACGGCCCACCAAACCGACGAUGGAUAGGGGUUCUGAGAGGAAGGUCCCCCACAUUGGAACUGAGACACGGUCCAAACUCCUACGGGAGGCAGCAGUGAGGAAUAUUGGUCAAUGGACGGGAGUCUGAACCAGCCAAGUAGCGUGAAGGAUGACUGCCCUAUGGGUUGUAAACUUCUUUUAUACGGGAAUAAAGUUAGCCACGUGUGGUUAUUUGUAUGUACCGUAUGAAUAAGGAUCGGCUAACUCCGUGCCAGCAGCCGCGGUAAUACGGAGGAUCCGAGCGUUAUCCGGAUUUAUUGGGUUUAAAGGGAGCGUAGGCGGGAUAUUAAGUCAGUUGUGAAAGUUUGCGGCUCAACCGUAAAAUUGCAGUUGAUACUGGUAUCCUUGAGUGCAGCAUAGGCGGGCGGAAUUCGUGGUGUAGCGGUGAAAUGCUUAGAUAUCACGAAGAACUCCGAUUGCGAAGGCAGCUCGCUGGACUGUAACUGACGCUGAUGCUCGAAAGUGUGGGUAUCAAACAGGAUUAGAUACCCUGGUAGUCCACACAGUAAACGAUGAAUACUCGCUGUUGGCGAUACACUGUCAGCGGCCAAGCGAAAGCAUUAAGUAUUCCACCUGGGGAGUACGCCGGCAACGGUGAAACUCAAAGGAAUUGACGGGGGCCCGCACAAGCGGAGGAACAUGUGGUUUAAUUCGAUGAUACGCGAGGAACCUUACCCGGGCUUGAAUUGCAGCGGAAUGU